This 693-nucleotide long non-coding RNA is filed under the name Chinchilla lanigera (long-tailed chinchilla). RNAcentral's name for it is "lncRNA (ENSCLAG00000027422.1)". The record is from RNAcentral. Lineage: Eukaryota; Metazoa; Chordata; Mammalia; Rodentia; Chinchillidae.
GAAAGAAUAAUCCAUGACCUUCGGGACCUUUAAGUACCGAACACAGGACACACUUCCCUGUAUUGUGUGGUUGGAGGGACUCCUGACAUUGGCAAACGCCUCUGUCCAGAGGAGGCUGUUUUGUGUCCUCUGUGGAAAUUUCCUCUGGUCUUCACACUGCCUGUGGCUGGCUGGUUGGAUCACGUUUGCCUCUAGGUUCCAACAUACCCCAGACAGAGCUGUGAACCGAUGGAGCCGUUCUGCGUGUGAGUGCGAAGGGUCAGCGUUGAGCAAAGAGAAGAAAACGGCAUGCUUCCUGCAGGGCUCUUGUGCACCUUCGUUUGCAUCGUAACUUCGUGUUGUAGGUCAGACUCCAGGCGUGGGUUCGAGUACUCUGGUUCACGAUUUUGGCGCACUGACGGAAAGAAUCCUGACUUUCAUGCCAGUGUCCUCUCUGCUGUUGCAGAAAUUUGGUAAAACCUGGUAUGAGUGUUGGGAAGACGGGAAAGCUCAGCCGCGACGCUGACUGACGGACACUGGCUCCGCGCACAGAGGCUGCGGAACAGCGGAGCCUCCCUGCUCACUCCUACGACGACCCGGCUUCAUUUAAGCUUCUUUACAAACUGCAGGCAUCCAGGGCUCACUUUUCACUUUCUACUUACAUAACAUGUUUUCUUCAAGUUGCCUCUAAAUUAUUCACUCUCCUAAAUAGAG